GACGAACGCUGGCGGCGUGCUUAACACAUGCAAGUCGAACGGUGAAGGGACCGGUUUUUGCUGGUUCUGGUUGAGUGGCGUACGUGUGAGUAACACGUGUUUAACCUGCCCCCUUCUUCUGGUUAACCUCAUGAAAGCGUGGCUAAUACGGGAUAUUCUGAGCCUGCUGCAUGGUGGGUGUGGGAAAGUUAAUGUUUCGGUGGGGGUUGGGCUCGCGGCCUAUUAGCUUGUUGGUGGGGUGAUGGCCUACCAAGGCGGUGACGGGUAGCCGGCUUGGGAGGGUGGACGGUAAAAGAGGGACUGAGACACAGACCAGACUACUAAGGGAGGCAGCAGUGGGGAAUAUUACACAAUGGGCGCAAGCCUGAUGCAGCGACGCCGCGUGAGGGAUAGAGACCAUCGGGUAGUAAACAUCUUUCGCCAGUGAAGCAGGACUGUCCCAAUAGUGGGUGGGUUGACGGUAGCGGGAUAAGAAGCGACGAUAAAUAAGUG
This 492-nucleotide ribosomal RNA is filed under the name uncultured bacterium. RNAcentral describes it as "partial 16S ribosomal RNA". It matches the Rfam family "Bacterial small subunit ribosomal RNA", at positions 28 to 507 of the family's 1533-position model. The record is from RNAcentral.